CUUGUAUGUCAUACCAAUGUCUCCACACUACUUGAUUACGAGGACAACCAACACAUAUGAUAUACAACGACCUUUACUCGAUAAACACUAUCGUCCUGGUAAUAGCAUAUCAUUUGAUCGUGAACUUAUUUUAAGGACUAAAUGAUAUAUCCUCUUAUAUCAAUUAGGAUAGUCCUAAGGACUUCAUCACAACAAUUGGAGUUUAUUAAGAAGAUAUACACUACUUUAUGAUGAAAAAGUUAAAUGAUAAUUUUAUUAAUUUAUCAAUUCAUAUACAUUUAUAUAGUUUAGCACAACCAUCAACAGACUGAUGAUUGACUUUGAGACAUAAUUUUCACCAACUC
This 344-nucleotide long non-coding RNA is filed under the name Elaeis guineensis (African oil palm). Its description in RNAcentral is "long non-coding RNA (EGUI_LNC018450)". The record is from RNAcentral. Lineage: Eukaryota; Viridiplantae; Streptophyta; Magnoliopsida; Arecales; Arecaceae.